AGCUUGGGCAAAGUACAGCUGCUUCCUGGUUUCAGUUUUAAAGGAGUGAGUUGGCAGCAGGAUGGAAGGAGGUACAUUUAAGAAGCUACAAAGUGGGGUUCCUCAUAUGGUGACUUGUGCUAACUAUCCACUGGAGCAAUUCCAUGUGAUAGGACCAAAAGCACCUGUCACUGCUUUGGUAGGAGAAGACACUGUGUUGCCCUGUCAUCUCAGCCCAUUGAUGGAUGCUCAAAACAUGGAGGUGAUAUGGUUCCAGGUUCAUCCUUUUGUCCUGGUGCAUCAUUAUAAAGACUUACAGGAUCACAUUGAGCAGUAG
Molecule: long non-coding RNA, 316 nt
Filed under: Dasypus novemcinctus (nine-banded armadillo)
Lineage: Eukaryota; Metazoa; Chordata; Mammalia; Cingulata; Dasypodidae
Description: lncRNA (ENSDNOG00000052343.1)
Source: RNAcentral